UACGGGGGCCCGUGGACGACGCCUAGCUGC
This 30-nucleotide non-coding RNA is filed under the name Homo sapiens (human). The record is from RNAcentral. Lineage: Eukaryota; Metazoa; Chordata; Mammalia; Primates; Hominidae.